GACACCGUGGCAGAGGGGUAAUGCUAACGACUUUGAUUCGUCAGGUCGUGGGCUCGAAACCCGCCAUGGUCA
Non-coding RNA from Halocaridina rubra (Hawaiian volcano shrimp), 72 nucleotides. The record is from the annotation of a GenBank genome assembly. Lineage: Eukaryota; Metazoa; Arthropoda; Malacostraca; Decapoda; Atyidae.